Prosopis cineraria is the source of this 2774-nucleotide RNA transcript. It is a transcript of the gene named L-aspartate oxidase 2-a, chloroplastic, with no coding region annotated. Lineage: Eukaryota; Viridiplantae; Streptophyta; Magnoliopsida; Fabales; Fabaceae. The transcript is spliced from 11 exons. The record is from RefSeq and is a predicted model, not a curated record.
GAUUAGUUAGGUGCUUAAAUUUUAAGAGAAACCAAAAAGAUUACGAACGGCAAACAAUAAAAUGGCGCGAUCCGCGACGAAACUUGAAUGGGUUGAAGACCAAUUCAUAUUUUAUUUUUGCGACGACUGACUCGUGGAAUAUUUUUAUCUUUUUUCUUCGUCGGUUAAGAUUCAUUUUCUGCGAAGCUACGCGGCCCGGGUUCACGUUUCACUGGUUUCGUCACUCUUCGUCGCGGGUCUCUGCAAAUUGAAAGUCGGUGUAUUUUUUGUUUUUGAAACUUUUGAAGCGUUGCAAUGACAACUAGUAUAGCCGGCGGGAGUGCCCAACUAAAUUACAUAUUCACAGACUUCAAGGGGAAAAAUUGUAGAAGGACUUGUACGGUCUCUGAUGCACCUAUCAAGAGCUAUUUGCAAAAGGAGCUCCCUUGGUCAAAAGGAGCACACAGUGUCCUGUGGAAAAACCGAUGUAAACUUGCUGUAUCUCCACGUUAUAAGAAUUGGAAACCUCUCAGAUCAGCCAUCUCCUCCUACAAGAAAGAUGGUUCCACUAAGUAUUUUGACUUUGCUGUAAUUGGAAGUGGAAUUGCUGGCCUCCGCUAUGCACUUGAAGUUGCAAAACAUGGUUCUGUGGCAGUGGUCACAAAGGCUGAACCUCAUGAAUGCAACACGAAUUAUGCUCAAGGUGGUGUUAGUGCUGUCCUAUGCCCUUCAGAUUCAGUGGAGAGUCACAUGGAGGAUACCAUAGUGGCUGGGGCUUAUCUUUGUGAUGAGGAGACCGUCAGAGUUGUCUGUACUGAAGGACCUGAUAGAGUUCGAGAACUGAUUGCCAUGGGCGCAUCAUUUGAUCAUGGGGAAGAUGGCAACUUGCAUCUAGCAAGGGAAGGAGGUCAUUCGCAUUGUAGAGUUGUUCAUGCUGCUGAUAUGACUGGAAAAGAGAUUGAACGGGCUUUACUGAAGAAAGUUAUCGGUGAUCCUAAUAUUUUUGUCUUCAAACACCACUUUGCUAUAGAUUUGCUCACUUGCCAGGAUGGAUCUGAUAUAGUUUGCCUUGGUUUUGACACUUUAAAUACUGAAACGUUACAGGUGGUAAGAUUCAUUUCAAAGGUGACUUUACUUGCAUCUGGUGGGGCUGGACAUAUUUAUCCUACAACUACAAAUCCCCUGGUAGCCACAGGAGACGGGAUGGCAAUGGCACACCGAGCUCAAGCUGUGAUUUCCAACAUGGAGUUUGUACAAUUUCACCCUACUGCCUUGGCUGAUGAAGGGCUUCCUCUCAAACCAACCAACCCUCGGGAAAAUGCAUUUCUGAUCUCUGAAGCUGUCAGGGGCCAUGGGGCUAUCCUGUAUAAUUUAGGCAUGGAAAGGUUCAUGCCCUUGUAUGAUGAGAGAGCAGAGCUUGCCCCCAGGGAUGUGGUUGCAAGAAGUAUAGAUGAUCAGCUUAAAAAGCGUGAUGAAAUGUAUGUGCUCCUUGACAUUAGUCACAAGCCCAAGGAGGAAAUCCUCUCCCAUUUUCCCAACAUUGCUUCCGUGUGUCUCCUAUAUGGCUUGGACAUAACUCGAUAUCCAAUCCCAGUGGUUCCAGCUGCUCAUUAUAUGUGUGGUGGAGUACGGGCUGGGCUCCAAGGGGAGACAAAUGUACGAGGUCUGUAUGUGGCUGGUGAGGUAGCAUGCACCGGCCUGCAUGGAGCCAAUAGACUUGCUAGCAAUUCAUUGCUUGAGGCACUAGUUUUUGCUCGUAGAGCUGUACAGCCAUCUGUUGAUUGCAUGAAGAGCUCCACUGUGCCUGUUGAUCUGACUGCUUCAAAUUUGUGGCCUAGACCCACUGUGCCUAUGUCACUCGGAAGUAAUGUCAUUAACAAAAUAUCAGCGAUGACAUGGAAAGUGAGGAGAGAACUGCAAUCUAUUAUGUGGAAUCAUGUAGGAAUUAUUCGGUCCACCAUGAGACUAGAAACGGCAAAGCAAAAAAUUGCUGAAUUAGAAGCUAAAUGGGCGGAUUUCUUAUUUCAGCAUGGUUGGAAGCCAACUAUGGUGGGGCCUGAGAUUUGUGAAAUGAGAAACCUUUUUUGUUGUGCUCAACUGGUGGUCAGCAGUGCCCUUUCCAGGCAUGAGAGCCGUGGGCUGCAUUACACAACUGAUUUUCCUCAUCUAGAAGAAAGUGAGAGACUACCAACUAUUAUUUUCCCAAGUUCACUUGUAAAGAGGUCGUGGAGUUCUCUGCAACUACACAAUCAGUCCAUGUAUCAAACUAGAAGUGUCAUUUCAGGAUCAUUCCACAACCUCCUACCCAACUGACAUAUUUUGUUGAGUCGGACACAAUUUUUCAGAGUAUUUGCUGGCUGGAUGUGCCUUGUUUGUCAAACACUUGAAUACUUUAAGAUAGCUUUGACGUCCAGGAUACAUGAAAUAGCAAUCAGACAAGAUUACCGUCACCAUUUGAAGGCUAACCAUGGACAAUAGUGAAUGUUUCUGAAAUUAGAGAGCUGAAAAAAGGGUAUGCUGUGUGCAGCUGUCAUACUUCACCAUGAUAUGCUGAAGUGAGCAUUUUCAUCCAACACGUUAGAAGAUUAACGGGCAUAGCAGCCUUUGCAGCAAAUUUGCGGAUUGCAAUCUAGGUCGCUGUUGCUAAUAAUGGAAUGCUUGCCCUUCACUCUAAUGAGCUGUGAGUUUGAGCAAGCAGUAGAACUAGAAUAAAAUGUAUGAACCAGUGACUUUCAAAUGAUUAGGGAUUACUUUGGGGAUUUUCCUGUUAGCUUAAUGCAACGAAAUCAUCUAUA